UGGGGAAUUUUGGACAAUGGGCGCAAGCCUGAUCCAGCAAUGCCGCGUGCAGGAUGAAGGCCUUCGGGUUGUAAACUGCUUUUGUACGGAACGAAAAAGCUCUCUCUAAUACAGGGGGUGAAUGACGGUACCGUAAGAAUAAGCACCGGCUAACUACGUGCCAGCAGCCGCGGUAAUACGUAGGUUGCAAGCGUUAAUCGGAAUUACUGGGCGUAAAGCGUGCGCAGGCGGUUUUGUAAGACAGAGGUGAAAUCCCCGGGCUCAACCUGGGAACUGCCUUUGUGACUGCAAAGCUGGAGUGCGGCAGAGGGUGAUGGAAUUCCGCGUGUAGCAGUGAAAUGCGUAGAUAUGCGGAGGAACACCGAUGGCGAAGGCAAUCCCCUGGGCCUGCACUGACGCUCAUGCACGAAAGCGUGGGGAGCAAACA
This 427-nucleotide ribosomal RNA is filed under the name uncultured bacterium. Its description in RNAcentral is "bacterial SSU rRNA". It matches the Rfam family "Bacterial small subunit ribosomal RNA", at positions 355 to 774 of the family's 1533-position model. The record is from RNAcentral.